ACUUAAUGAUAUAAAAGUUUGAUUAUAGAUUCAAGGUAAUAAGCUAAAAAUGGUAUAUUCAGAGGCGGAUUUAGGGAGGGGCAGAGGGCCGGGUCCCCCUUUUCUGGAAAAAAUUUGGUUGCUUAUAUAGGGAAUCACUGAAGCAUGACCGGAGCGGGCCCCCACUUUUAAGAAUUUCUGGAUCCGCCACUGAUAUUAUGUAUACAUGUACCCAUUACAUAUCUUGUUUGAGGUACCAUUUUAAUUCUUCUUCUCCUGUCUAUACUUGUUUUACU
RNAcentral lists this long non-coding RNA (275 nucleotides) under Mytilus galloprovincialis (Mediterranean mussel). Lineage: Eukaryota; Metazoa; Mollusca; Bivalvia; Mytilida; Mytilidae. The record is from RNAcentral.